UGUCCUACGGGAGGCAGCAGUGAGGAAUAUUGGUCAAUGGGCGGAAGCCUGAACCAGCCAAGUCGCGUGAGGGAAUAAGGCCCUACGGGUCGUAAACCUCUUUUGCCGGGGAGCAAGGGCGGGGACGUGUCCCGGCCCGGAGAGUACCCGGAGAAAAAGCAUCGGCUAACUCCGUGCCAGCAGCCGCGGUAAUACGGAGGAUCCGAGCGUUAUCCGGAAUUACUGGGCGUAAAGGGUGCGUAGGUGGUUUCUUAAGUCAGAGGUGAAAGGCUACGGCUCAACCGUAGUAAGCCUUUGAAACUGGG
RNAcentral lists this ribosomal RNA (305 nucleotides) under uncultured bacterium. Its description in RNAcentral is "bacterial SSU rRNA". It matches the Rfam family "Bacterial small subunit ribosomal RNA", at positions 335 to 637 of the family's 1533-position model. The record is from RNAcentral.